This 892-nucleotide ribosomal RNA is filed under the name Lactarius baliophaeus. RNAcentral's name for it is "eukaryotic LSU rRNA". It matches the Rfam family "Eukaryotic large subunit ribosomal RNA", at positions 71 to 939 of the family's 3401-position model. The record is from RNAcentral. Lineage: Eukaryota; Fungi; Basidiomycota; Agaricomycetes; Russulales; Russulaceae.
AGGAUUCCCCUAGUAACUGCGAGUGAAGCGGGAAAAGCUCAAAUUUAAAAUCUGGUGGCCUUUGGUCACCCGAGUUGUAAUUUAGAGAAGCGUCUUCCGCGCCAGACCGUGCACAAGUCUCCUGGAAUGGAGCGUCAUAGAGGGUGAGAAUCCCGUCUUUGGCACGGAUGCCUGGUGCUUCUGUGAUGCGCUCUCAAAGAGUCGAGUUGUUUGGGAAUGCAGCUCCAAAUGGGUGGUGAACUCCAUCUAAAGCUAAAUAUUGGCGAGAGACCGAUAGCGAACAAGUACCGUGAGGGAAAGAUGAAAAGCACUUUGGAAAGAGAGUGAAACAGUACGUGAAAUUGUUGAAAGGGAAACGCUUGAAGUCAGUCGCGUCGACCGAGACUCAGCCUUGCCUUGGCUUGGUGUACUUCUCGGCCCGACGGGUCAGCGUCAAUUUUGCCCCUCGGACAAUGGCAAGGGAAAGGUGGCACCUUUGCGGGUGUGUUAUAGUCCCUUGUCGCACACGAGGAGUGGGAUUGAGGAACUCAGCGUGCACCUCUCGGUGUCGGGGCUUUCGCCCACGAAACACGCUUAGGACGCUGGCGUAAUGGCUUUAAGCGACCCGUCUUGAAACACGGACCAAGGAGUCCAACACGCCCGCGAGUGUUCGGGUGGAAAACCCGUGCGCGCAAUGAAAGUGAAAGUUGGGACCUCUGUCGUGGAGGGCACCGACGCCCGGACCAGACCUUCUGUGACGGAUCUGCGGUUGAGCGUGUGUGUUGGGACCCGAAAGAUGGUGAACUAUGCCUGAAUAGGGUGAAGCCAGAGGAAACUCUGGUGGAGGCUCGUAGCGAUUCUGACGUGCAAAUCGAUCGUCAAAUUUGGGUAUAGGGGCGAAAGACUAAUCGAU